CAGGGAGAGAAAGAGAGAUUGGGAGGAGGAAAGAGGAAGAAAGAGGGAGGUGAGAGUGGAGAAAUUUCAUUUUUGAAAAAUCCAGGGGAUUUUGCUGACCACAGAGACUUGAGACUUUUCUCACCUUCCCCUCCUCCUCCCCUCCUCCUCCCCUCCUCCUCCUCUCCUCCCUUCUCUUUCCCCUUCCCCCUCCCUUCCCCUCUUUUU
RNAcentral lists this microRNA precursor (207 nucleotides) under Marmota monax (woodchuck). The record is from RNAcentral. Lineage: Eukaryota; Metazoa; Chordata; Mammalia; Rodentia; Sciuridae.